CAGUCGCCACGGGAAUACGUAGGGGGCAAGCGUUAUCCGGAAUUACUGGGUGUAAAGGGAGCGUAGACGGUUAAACAAGUCUGAAGUGAAAUGCCGGGGCUCAACCCCGGAGCUGCUUUGGGAACUGUUAAACUUGAGUGCAGGAGAGAAAAGUGGAAUUCCUAGUGUAGCGGUGAAAUGCGUAGAGAUUAGGAGGAACACCAGUGGCGAAGGCGGCUUUUUGGCCUGUAACUGACACUGAGGCGCGAAAGCGUGGGGAGCAAACAGGAUUAGAGACCCCCGUAGUCCCUGUCUCUUAUAC
This 301-nucleotide ribosomal RNA is filed under the name uncultured bacterium. Its description in RNAcentral is "partial 16S ribosomal RNA". It matches the Rfam family "Bacterial small subunit ribosomal RNA", at positions 509 to 807 of the family's 1533-position model. The record is from RNAcentral.